Alexandromys fortis (reed vole) is the source of this 500-nucleotide long non-coding RNA. RefSeq lists it as uncharacterized. The record is from RefSeq and is a predicted model, not a curated record. The transcript is spliced from 3 exons. NCBI's taxonomy places the organism in Eukaryota, Metazoa, Chordata, Mammalia, Rodentia, Cricetidae.
UCUUUUGACGUCGCUUUUGUGGCGCUUGUAGUCUGUGAUCCUGCUCAUGCUUUCGCUCUUCUCAUCAUUAUCAUUUGCAAAAUUAAUAAGUUCACUAAAGAUAUUUUCCGCCAGAAUUUUUUUUAAACUAAAAAUAGGACCUUGUUUUCGAGGGAUGUGGCUAAGUGGAAGGGCGCAAAGGGCUCCAUUUGUCAUCCAUGUAUCCCAGUUUGGCGCUCUGGUGGAAAAACAAAACUUCAUAUAUGUUCAUGGUAACUUUCAUACUGCAUGCUUCCUCUAUUCAUCUGUGCCAGCUGACAUGGGGCUUUCUUCAAAGCUUUGUAUAAGAAAACAAUUGCCAGAUUCAACUCCCACAGCAAAAAUGGGAUUAUCAUGAUUGCCCUUCUUGGGAAGGUGGAGUACAGAAAAGAGGCCUUGAAUCUAUUUUCACAUGGAAGAUAAGUUUACUAAAUUAUUGCAAAAUAUGUUCAGGUUCUCAAUAAAUAUAAAUGGAUUAGUGU